RNAcentral lists this long non-coding RNA (152 nucleotides) under dengue virus type 2. RNAcentral describes it as "Dengue virus type 2 partial sfRNA1". Lineage: Riboviria; Orthornavirae; Kitrinoviricota; Flasuviricetes; Amarillovirales; Flaviviridae. The record is from RNAcentral.
UAAAAGUCAGGUCGGAUUAAGCCAUAGUACGGAAAAAACUAUGCUACCUGUGAGCCCCGUCCAAGGACGUUAAAAGAAGUCAGGCCAUUACAAAAAUGCCACAGCUUGAGCAAACUGUGCAGCCUGUAGCUCCACCUGAGGAGGUGCAAAAA